RNAcentral lists this unclassified non-coding RNA (2719 nucleotides) under Hevea brasiliensis (rubber tree). The record is from RNAcentral. Lineage: Eukaryota; Viridiplantae; Streptophyta; Magnoliopsida; Malpighiales; Euphorbiaceae.
AAGUGAGACUACAUAAUGCAAAUAUACAAAAAUAAAAUGAAAAGAAAGCUUCACAUAAGAUUAUCGGAGAAAACAAUCUCUGGCAAGGUUUCUGUUGAGUUUCGGUCCACCACCUUCAUCUCCGCCUCCACCUCCAUCUCCUUCAAUUGCCCACGACCUUAAAGGCCUCAGGUCCUCCAAUACCCAACACCACUGCAACAGAAGAAACCCAUCACACAAGGAAGGAAGCAAGAACAUAAAAGGACCAAAACCCUUUCUGUACUACCACCACAGGCCAUAACAGCAGGUGCUUUGUUCUUAAUGAGUAAACCAAUUACCAGUGGAUUUGAUUGCAAUGAUCUUAUUCUGUCAAGAUGGUCCUUUCCAUUUCACUGCUUGUUAAUUGAACCUGUAUCCAUAUCUGACUGGAGUUUGCAGUAGCUGUGUUUGGAGAAAUAUCAUUUUAGAACUGAUUCAAUUCUGUAUGCAGCACAAAGGAAGAGGGGAAAUCACAUAAAUCUGGUGCUCCUUAUUUUGGUGGAUUCAUGGCUGAUCAUGCUUUAAUUGUGCCUGAUGUUUCUCUUCCUUUGAUAGAACAUAGUUUAGUUAUUGGACAAGAAUUUCCUGAUGUUGAAACUUGCAGAAGAACAUUGAAAGAUAUUGCUAUAGCCCUGCAUUUUGAUCUUCGGAUAGUGAAAUCAGAUCGAAGCCGGUUUAUAGCCAAGUGCUCCAAAGAAGGUUGUCCGUGGCGUGUCCAUGUUGCAAAAUGCCCCGGAGGUCCAACCUUUACAAUUAGAACGUUACAUGGAGAGCAUACAUGUGAAGGAGUCCGCAACCUGCACCAUCAGCAAGCAUCAGUAGGUUGGGUAGCCAGAUCUGUAGAAGCCCGAAUUCGGGAUAAUCCACAAUACAAACCAAAGGAAAUCCUACAAGAUAUCCGUGACCAACAUGGGGUUGCUGUGUCUUAUAUGCAAGCUUGGCGUGGAAAGGAGCGCAGCAUGGCUGCACUUCAUGGUACUUUUGAAGAAGGGUACCGCCUUCUGCCUGUGUAUUGUGAGCAGAUAAGGAAAACAAACCCAGGGAGCAUUGCUUCGGUUUUUGCUACUGGACAGGAAAAUUGUUUCCAGCGCCUCUUUAUUUCUUAUCGUGCAUGUAUUUAUGGGUUUAUAAAUGCUUGUAGGCCACUUCUGGAACUUGACAGAGCACAUCUUAAAGGAAAAUAUUUGGGUACAUUACUUUGUGCUGCAGCUGUUGAUGCUGAUGAUGCAUUAUUUCCUCUGGCCAUUGCUAUUGUUGAUACAGAAAGUGAUGAAAAUUGGAUGUGGUUCAUGUCAGAAUUACGUAAGCUCCUUGGAGUAAAUACUGAUAACAUGCCUAGACUUACAAUACUGUCUGACAGGCAAAGAGGCAUUGUAGAGGCAGUUGAAACGCACUUUCCUAGUGCUUUUCAUGGAUUUUGUUUGCGUUUUGUUAGUGAAAACUUCCGUGAUACAUUUAAGAAUACAAAGUUAGUGAAUAUAUUUUGGAAUGCUGUUUAUGCCCUUACAACAGCUGAAUUUGAAAGCAAAAUCUCUGAGAUGGUAGAGAUUUCACAAGAUGUUAUGACAUGGUUUCAACACUUUCCUCCUCAACUUUGGGCAGUGGCAUAUUUUGAGGGCAUGCGAUAUGGCCAUUUUACAUUGGGGAUCACUGAGUUGUUGUAUAAUUGGGCUCUCGAGUGUCAUGAGCUUCCAAUUGUGCAAAUGAUGGAGCAUAUGCGUAAUCAGUUGGCAUCUUGGUUUAAUGAUCGUCGGGAUAUUGGUAUGAGGUGGACCUCAAUUCUUGUUCCAUCUGCUGAGAAGCGGAUUCUGGAGGCAAUUGCAGAUGCCCGUUGCUAUCAAGUCCUACGUGCAAACGAAGUUGAGUUUGAGAUUGUGUCAACUGAGCGGACAAAUAUUGUGGAUAUAAGAAGUCGUGUGUGCUCGUGUCGCCGUUGGCAGCUCUAUGGUUUACCUUGUGCACAUGCUGCUGCUGCACUUAUUUCUUGUGGACAAAAUGCCCAUCUAUUUGCAGAACCCUGUUUCACAGUUGCAAGUUAUCGAGAGACUUACUCACAGAUGAUAAACCAUAUUCCAGAUAAAAGCCUAUGGAGGGAACCAGGUGAGGGAACUGAAGGUGGAGGUGCCAAGGUUGAUAUCACAAUACGCCCACCCAAAACUCGGCGGCCUCCUGGAAGACCAAAAAAGAAGGUUCUUCGUGUAGAAAACUUUAAGCGUCCGAAGAGAGUUGUUCAAUGUGGUCGCUGUCAUUUGUUAGGACAUUCUCAAAAGAAAUGCACAAUGCCACUAUGAACAGGAGAUAGCUUCUUAACAUUUCUUCAUUUCUUAUUCUGGAAUUACAAAAGAAUCCAUGGUGUGUUUGUAAUCUGAUGUAUGUUUGAACUAUUUCAUAGAAUAACAAGGAUCUAAUCCUUUUGGUAUAGUUCUAUGUGCAUAUGGUAGAAGCAUUUUUGUGUUUUUCACAUUUAGUUUGAUAAGAACGGUCUAGUUACUGUAACCAGUCAGAAAUACUUUCAAUGCAUAUUUUUCUGCAUUACAUGGUAGUUAUUAUGCAGGAAAUUGAUAUUUUAAAUCUAUCAAUUGGCUGUGCUGAGUUUUCUGUUUGUCAAUGUUCUAUGCAGACUAGUCAUCCUGUAAUUAGCAAUAUCUCCACUGGCAGAAAGCAACUAACAGUGUUUUAUAGGGUUUAAAAUACAAGUUCA